Pogoniulus pusillus (Red-fronted tinkerbird) is the source of this 934-nucleotide long non-coding RNA. RefSeq lists it as uncharacterized. NCBI's taxonomy places the organism in Eukaryota, Metazoa, Chordata, Aves, Piciformes, Lybiidae. The record is from RefSeq and is a predicted model, not a curated record. The transcript has 6 exons.
CCUGCUUGCUGGUGUUGCCAUCCUGUUUCUUGCUGCUAUUUGUUUUACCAUGUGGCCAUAAACCUUGAGGAAAGGACAAAGCAAAUUUAUCAUCUAUGGGACGUUGUUGGUUAAUGGAGGGAAAUUGCAGUGUUCUAUAAAAGCAGAGCCUCUACUGAGUACAUAAUUCUCGUUAAAAGCAGCCACCUGUAUGCAGCUCACACCCACCAGCUUGGCAGUGUCUCUUCCCUCUGCCUGAAAUAUUUGUGCUUUAUCCUGGGAUCACAUCACGAGUUUCAAAGUGUCUUUGAUACAGGAGACCUACUCAGGGACCAAAAGCAUUGAAGGUGAUGCUAUAUCCAGAGACCUGUCCCCACCAAAUACCCAGUGGCAAUCAACUCUGCUUGUAAAUGAUAACCUUCCUUUUAAUAUGGUGAUCUGCAUCCACACAUGAGCUCAUUGAGGAGAGGAGAGCCAUUCAUUGCACAACGAUUGUAGCUGUGGGCAUCCAGUCCUUUGGAUAAUGAAUCUGUGUAGAAAUAUACUGAAAGCAAAAUAUACUCCUGGAGGGAAGGAAAAAGCCAGAAAAGUACAAGCAGUGAGAUGGUUAACUGGCUCCAGGACAGAUGCUCAUGUUGCUCUAAUUUUGACAAAAGUACAUUGGCUUCCUGUGAAGCAAAGAAUUGAUUUUAAAACACCGUAUUUGCAGACCAAGCACUGUGGCUCAAGUCCAGCUCUCUUGAAAAACAUAUUAACAGCCCCUCACAUUCUCUUUGUUCUUUUGAAAACCAUCAACUGCUUCAGACACCUACUGUAGCUUCCCGUGGUUCAUAUACUAGAUGUCUUUUAAUGGCCACUUCUCUUAUCUCUUGGACAUUUAUGGUUUAAAUUCAGACAUUUUUAGAAUGUGUAUUAAUGUUCUUCACUACUUCAUUGCAAAAACUCACUGUAGCUU